CAGCCGCCGCGGUAAUACCGGCGCCUCAAGUGGUAGUCGCUUUUAUUGGGCCUAAAACGUCGGUAGCCGGUCUGGUACAUUCGUGGGUAAAUCAACCCGCUCAACGGGUUGAAUUCUGCGAGCACGGCCAGACUUGGGACCGGGAGAGGUGUGGGGUACUCUCAGGGUAGGGGUAAAAUCCUGUCAUCCUGAGAGGACCACCUGUUGCGAAGGCGCCACACUAGAACGGAUCCGACGGUCAGGGACGAAACCUAGGGGCACGAACCGGAUUAGAUACCCGGGUAGUCCUAGGUGUAAACGCUGUGGACUUGAUGUUGGGGGCGCUCCGAGCGCUUUCAGUGUCGAAGCGAAGGUGAUAAGUCCACUGCCUGGGGAGUACGGUCGCAAGGCUGAAACUUAAAGGAAUUGGCGGGGGAGCACUGCAACCUGAGGAUUGUGCGGUUUAAUUGGAUUCAACGCCGGAAAACUCACCAUAGCCGACGGACAAAUGAAGGCCAGCGUAAUGAGCUUGCUGGAUUGUUCGAGAGGUAUUGCAUGGCCGUCGUCAGUUCGUACCGUAAGGCGUUCUGUUAAGUCAGAUAACGAACGAGACCCUCAUCCCUAUUUGCUAACCAGAUCUCCGGAUCUGACGCACUAUAGGGAGACCGCUGGCGCUAAGUCAGAGGAAGGCGAGGGCAACGGUAGGUCAGUAUGAUCCGAAUGCUAUGGGCUACACGCGCAAUACAAAGGACGGGACAAUGGGCUGCAACUCCGAGAGGAACGACGCUAUCCCGAAACCCGUUCGUAGUUCGGAUUGAG
This 798-nucleotide ribosomal RNA is filed under the name marine metagenome. RNAcentral's name for it is "bacterial SSU rRNA". It matches the Rfam family "Archaeal small subunit ribosomal RNA", at positions 459 to 1258 of the family's 1478-position model. The record is from RNAcentral.